RNAcentral lists this ribosomal RNA (502 nucleotides) under uncultured bacterium. RNAcentral's name for it is "partial 16S ribosomal RNA". It matches the Rfam family "Bacterial small subunit ribosomal RNA", at positions 28 to 507 of the family's 1533-position model. The record is from RNAcentral.
GACGAACGCUGGCGGCGUGCCUAAUACAUGCAAGUCGAACGAACCGCGACUAGGUGCUUGCACUUGGUCAAGGUGAGUGGCGAACGGGUGAGUAACACGUGGGUAACCUACCUCAUAGUGGGGGAUAACAGUCGGAAACGACUGCUAAUACCGCAUAGGACAUAGGAUCACAUGAUCCAGUGAGGAAAGGUGGCGCAAGCUAUCGCUAAGAGAUGGACCCGCGGUGCAUUAGCUAGUUGGUAGGGUAAAGGCCUACCAAGGCGAUGAUGCAUAGCCGACCUGAGAGGGUGAUCGGCCACAUUGGGACUGAGACACGGCCCAAACUCCUACGGGAGGCAGCAGUAGGGAAUCUUCCGCAAUGGACGCAAGUCUGACGGAGCAACGCCGCGUGAGUGAAGAAGGCCUUCGGAUCGUAAAGCUCUGUUGUUAGAGAAGAACAGCGCAUAGAGUAACUGUUAUGCGUGUGACGGUAUCUAACCAGAAAGCCACGGCUAACUACGUG